Molecule: non-coding RNA, 2121 nt
Organism: Taeniopygia guttata (zebra finch)
Lineage: Eukaryota; Metazoa; Chordata; Aves; Passeriformes; Estrildidae
Source: RefSeq, a predicted model, not a curated record
CUGGGUUGGACUCGAUGAUCUUGGAGGUCUCUUCCAACCUGGUCACUCUGUGAUUCUGUGAAAGAAAAACCAAACAGGGACCAGGUGCCUCGAGGCCUCGAGCUGGGGAUCUCACACUAAUGGAUCCAUUUAUUCUCCAUAAAGCCUUCAAAACGCAGAACCCUGUACAAGUGAGUUCCUGAGGAACCCAGAGCGAUGGGUCUGCGAGGGGAGCAGGCCUGAUCCAGGUGCAGUCCCCAUUUCCCGUUGGAUCUGAGCCUCUGGAGCUGCUGGAGCUGAGCUGUACCCCAGGAGGGCAGCGCUUGGCAUGCAAGGAGAGCAAACCUUCCCCCAAACCUGCCUGGAGAGGAGGAGCAGCCAGGAGCAUCCACCUUCUCCCUUCUCACCCUUUCCACUCUGUUCUCUCACCCAUCAUCUCCCUGUACCUCCCUCCAUCUCUCUUUCCCUCUUUCCCUUUUUAUUCACCAGAGAUGACCACAUCAGAGGCUCUGCUUUAACCCCCACAAUAAGACCUGAAUAAUUUUAAUUAUUUUAUUUCUAAUUUAUCAGUUUCCCUCUGCCCAGUGGAGCCUGUGGGAUGACCCCAGACCAUGUAGGACUCUAAAAGGACCCUCCAAAUCUGCUGAAAAAUGGGAUUCUCCUUGAUUAAAUGCUGGAAGUCCAUCUGCCACUGCAGAAAACACUUCCCUGCCCUGCCAGUGAAUGAGUUUGGUCCCUGGAAUAAAUGACUGAGAAUCCACAGCUUUGGAGCAUGCUGCAGAUCUUAAAUCCCAUUGUUUCAUGCAGCACUGGGAAGCUCUUGGGUGCUCCAGCGCCAGGCACAGCGUGAGCACAGACUGGGAGCAAACAGCUCCUUCCUGCAAGCAGGAGGAGCAGCUUAAUGGAAUUCUGUUCCUGGCAGAGAGGAAGUCAGCCCGACCCCCUCAUAUUCCCUGCCUUGAAUGAGUUGGAGAUCUGUGUUAUUGAAAAGGGAAAAGGAAAAAAAAAAAAAAAAUCAAACCCUCGAGUCAAAGAGAAGAGGUUUGCAUUCCCAUCCUGAUUCAGAAAAUUGCUUGAGAACACACUUCACUCCCAAGCUCGCAUUCCCACUGCUGCUUUGUUUUAGAGGGAUUCAGGCCCUGAUCCAAGGGGGGAAAAUCCUGUGUGCAUCUGGAGUGGUGCUGGAAUAAUGAUUGCAUUUCUCCUACAAAAUCCUCCUUCGAGUAUCCCUGAGCAGGAAGAUUCCUCUACCCCUUCAGCUGAUGCUAAAUUGGCUCCUUUUCCCUGACACAUCCCAGAAUCUUCUCAUCCCUGUGGAGCUGAGCGCCCUCACCCUGCCCCAGGACAGUGCUGGGGCAUCCAGCAGGAUCAGGGCAUCCUUUGGAUCCCCUCUGCAGCCACACAAAGCCACCCCCUGAUGGUGAGGGGUGCAGGGGAGAUGUGAUGCCAGGGAAGGUGGGAUCCUGCCUGGCAUUCCUGCUGGAAGCACAGGACAAGUGCUGGGGGCUGCACUUCCAGGUGUGGCUCCAUAAUGAGCCGUGUGUGGGAUUAUUUGGGAUAACACAAUCCCACCGUGAAUGUGAACAGCGGCCAUAAAUGUUCUUACAAAGGAUAAGGAGCUCUGAAAGGCUCAGAAAGGUUUUGUGGGAUCCCUCAGGUCAGCCACAUCCUCAUUAUCCCAGAGUGUCCUUGGAUAGGGGGAAUGGAGCCUUUCCCUGCAAGCCACCCCACAUCCAUGCUCUUUUCCCAAUUUCCAUCCCUUUCCUGCUGCGUUCAGCGGAUUUAGCACAAGGAUGGGUAGUUCUUGGGUAGUGGGAAUGGAGCUUUUCCCUCCAAGCCACCCCACAUCCACGCUCCUUUCCCAGUUCCCAUCCCUUUCCUGCUGCACUCAGCACAGUCAGCACAAGGACGGGGCACAGAGGACGCCUCGUUUUGGGUGUCCUGAGGCACCUCCCGCUCCCUCCAGGUGGAAUUCCUGCCCCUGCUCCUCUCCUGCCCUUCCCGAGGGAGCGGAGGAUCCCGAGCAGCUCCCGCUGCAGCCGCAUCCCUCCCGCGGGCACGGUGGCCAAGUGGUUCCCACGGCGGCCAACCCUGCCAGGAGGAGCCGAUUAAAAAUCUCCACUGUGAAAAAACAUUCAAUAU